RNAcentral lists this unclassified non-coding RNA (639 nucleotides) under Hevea brasiliensis (rubber tree). Lineage: Eukaryota; Viridiplantae; Streptophyta; Magnoliopsida; Malpighiales; Euphorbiaceae. The record is from RNAcentral.
GGUUUUCACAAAGAUCUGCAUCUGCUUGGUGGAAUAAAUAUCAAAUAAAAAAAUAUUACAAACAGCGAAUUAUAUAUAGACCACAAUUAAUGAUUAUCAGCUCAUAAUACCAAUAGGAAUCCUGCAACUAAAUCAAAAUUAGAUUAAGAUAUUGCUAAAGAUAAAUUAGAACCGUCUUAAGUACAACAGAUAAUAAGAGAUGCAAUGAAUCCCCAAAACAAAGUCAAUCAAAUUGUCAUAAUGCAGCAACAUCUAAAAUCUCCAGAGUUGGAACCAUUUACAACUAAAAAAUUAAAAAAGAACAACAAUGAAAAAGCCAACAUAUUCAUUCACAACCAUUACUCUAAUGACGAAUCUAAUGAGUAGACAAAAAGAACAAUUCAUUUGAGAUUUUCAGAACACACGCUCAAUAUUAAUCAAAUAAACAAAAGUUAUAUAAGGUAUAAUCCCAUUUCAUGGAUAUGUCCAUACAACAAGAAUCCCCGAAAACUAUUACUUUCUGAGAAUCUAGGCCACAUAUAAUCAAAAGGAAAUCGCAAUCAAACAGUACAUAAAUAUUUCUAAAAGAAGCCUAAUAGAGAAGAAAAAUUAAGAUUUCCCAGGAAAAAGAAAUUGAAAGAUACCUUUAUUGAAAUUUAC